GGGGGUUGUAUAUAGUAUAUAGAGUCAUUCAUGACUCAUGUAUUUAGAUUGGAAAAAUGUAUCUUUUACAAGGGAAUUUAUAUUGUAUAAAACGAGUUUUUAUUAAGUAAUCAUGUUAGUAUUAAUUUGUAAAGAGGAGUGUAAUACCUAGAACUAAUAUUCUAUAAAUUAAAUUGUAAUUAUUCGUUGCGUAUUUUGAAAAAGAUUUAAUAAAGGUAGAAUUACUUAAAUAAUGGGUUCGGGUG
RNAcentral lists this long non-coding RNA (245 nucleotides) under Trifolium pratense (red clover). RNAcentral describes it as "long non-coding RNA (TPRA_LNC006003)". The record is from RNAcentral. Lineage: Eukaryota; Viridiplantae; Streptophyta; Magnoliopsida; Fabales; Fabaceae.